RNAcentral lists this ribosomal RNA (460 nucleotides) under uncultured bacterium. RNAcentral describes it as "partial 16S ribosomal RNA". It matches the Rfam family "Bacterial small subunit ribosomal RNA", at positions 338 to 795 of the family's 1533-position model. The record is from RNAcentral.
CCUACGGGAGGCAGCAGUGAGGAAUAUUGGUCAAUGGGCGGAAGCCUGAACCAGCCAAGUCGCGUGCAGGAUGACGGCCCUACGGGUUGUAAACUGCUUUUAUACGGGAAUAACGCGCCUUACGUGUAGGGCUUUGCAUGUACCGUAUGAAUAAGCACCGGCUAAUUCCGUGCCAGCAGCCGCGGUAAUACGGAAGGUCCGGGCGUUAUCCGGAUUUAUUGGGUUUAAAGGGGGCGUAGGCCGCAUGUCAAGCGUGCUGUGAAAUGUCCGGGCUCAACCCGGGCCUGGCAGCGCGAACUGGCGGGCUAGAGUCCGCGGAAAGCAGGCGGAAUUCGUCGUGUAGCGGUGAAAUGCUGAGAUAUGGCGAAGAACCCCGAUUGCGAAGGCAACUUGCUGCAGCGGAACUGACGCUGAUGCUCGAAAGCGCGGGUAUCGAACAGGAUUAGAUACCCGAGUAGUC